CGUCAGUGAGUACUGCUUUCCGACAUCAUUCGUCUUUGGUAGUGAGCCGGAAAGGAAAAAAAAAUUGCAGCGCAAAAAAGUUCCCUGGUCUGGUAUUUUAACAUCUACUAGCAUUUUGGCUUAUGUUUUGGUUGGAAUGGCAUACUAUUCGGCAUUCAGUUUUAAUGUUCUUUUGUACCCAUUGUACCUAAAAUCAGUAUUUGGUGCCACGUCAGAAUGGAUCACUAUAGCAGCUGCAGUACCAAAUCUUCUUGCUGUAUAUUUAUUUGUUAUAGCUACGUUUAUUUCAGAACGUUUUGUGCAAAGUCAAGUGUUCGAGAAAGUAACUGUUCGAAAAUGUUGUG
This is a non-coding RNA of Parasteatoda tepidariorum (common house spider), 344 nucleotides long. The record is from RefSeq and is a predicted model, not a curated record. NCBI's taxonomy places the organism in Eukaryota, Metazoa, Arthropoda, Arachnida, Araneae, Theridiidae.